This is a long non-coding RNA of Salvelinus namaycush (lake trout), 779 nucleotides long. RefSeq lists it as uncharacterized. The transcript is spliced from 3 exons. The record is from RefSeq and is a predicted model, not a curated record. NCBI's taxonomy places the organism in Eukaryota, Metazoa, Chordata, Actinopteri, Salmoniformes, Salmonidae.
GAACUAAUGUGAAUUUUGGUGCUGCUCGAAUUAGCUACGUUAUAUGUAGUUAGUUUUAGUUUAGUUUAAGUAAUGGAAAAGAUUCGUGCACGCUUAAAUAUUGGAAACAAAGCAGAGCCUGUUAAACUGAGGAAACGAAAAUCCCAACUAUAUAGUGAAGAAGAAACAUGUCCUCUUGAUAAUGGUGUAUUGGGGGUCCAUGUCACUGUCUUCACUGUGGCAUUUCGUCUCAUCAACUGCUUCCUGGUCCAGACCAGCUUUGUCCCGGAUGAGUACUGGCAGUCCCUCGAAAUCGCACAUCUUAUGGUUUUUGAAUAUUCUUGCAACAAUAUUCUUGAGUUUAAGCAGUACCCUUCUAAUAACCUUUUUGUGGACAAUAGGCUGUGUAUUCUGCUAAAUCCUUAAUAACUUCACCUAUAGCUAUUUGACGUGGGAGUGGACAGCAGAUAUAAGAGGGUUCUCCUACCCUCUCUUCUUUGCAGCUAUAUAUAAGAUAUUGCACUUCUUCACCUAUGACGCAGUUCAACUCUUGUACCUCUGCCAGCUCUGUUCUUGGUUCACAUGGCACUGCUGCACUCGGACCGUGACCAACACCAUGGAGACCACACUCACAACUCUGGCUCUCUAUUACUAUCCUCUGCCUGGCUUUAAAACACACAACAGGUUGGACCUACACCUCUACACAACUCGAACAUAAAACCAUUUCACUUACUGUGCAUCUAAGUAUUUCCCAUUACACGGAAAGUUACAAAAUACCUUUACAAAAGUUAUACCUUUUA